GUUGGCGGCGUGGAUUAGGCAUGCAAGUCGCGCGAGAAAUUUCCUUCGGGAAAUGGACAGCGGCGGAAGGGAGAGGAAUAAGUAGAAAUCUGCCCUCGGGACGGGGAUAGCGGUGGGAAACUGCCGGUAAUACCCGAUAACAUCUUUGGAUCAAAUGGUGUGAUUCCGCCUGAGGAUGAGUCUACUUCCUAUUAGCUAGUUGGUGGGGUAAUGGCCUACCAAGGCAACGAUGGGUAGCGGGUGUGAGAGCACGACCCGCCUCACUGGGACUGAGACACUGCCCAGACACCUACGGGUGGCUGCAGUCGAGAAUCUUCGGCAAUGGGGGAAACCCUGACCGAGCGACGCCGCGUGCGGGAUGAAGGCCCUUGGGUUGUAAACCGCUGUCGUAAGGGAACAAAUCCAUAGGGGUACUCCCCUAUGGUUGAGUGAUCUUAGGAGGAAGGACGGGCUAAGUUCGUG
RNAcentral lists this ribosomal RNA (462 nucleotides) under uncultured bacterium. RNAcentral describes it as "bacterial SSU rRNA". It matches the Rfam family "Bacterial small subunit ribosomal RNA", at positions 35 to 507 of the family's 1533-position model. The record is from RNAcentral.